GAUGAACGCUGGCGGCGUGCCUAAUACAUGCAAGUCGAGCGAACGGACGAGAAGCUUGCUUUUCUGAUGUUAGCGGCGCACGGGUGAGUAACACGUGGAUAACCUACCUAUAAGACUGGGAUAACUUCGGGAAACCGGAGCUAAUACCGGAGAAUAUUUUGAACCGCAUGGUUCAAAAGUGAAAGACGGUCUUGCUGUCACUUAUAGAUGGAUCCGCGCUGCAUUAGCUAGUUGGUAAGGUAACGGCUUACCAAGGCAACGAUGCAUAGCCGACCUGAGAGGGUGAUCGGCCACACUGGAACUGAGACACGGUCCAGACUCCUACGGGAGGCAGCAGUAGGGAAUCUUCCGCAAUGGGCGAAAGCCUGACGGAGCAACGCCGCGUGAGUGAUGAAGGUCUUCGGAUCGUAAAACUCUGUUAUUAGGGAAGAACAUAUGUGUAAGUAACUGUGCACAUCUUGACGGUACCUAAUCAGAAAGCCACGGCUAACUACGUG
Molecule: ribosomal RNA, 497 nt
Filed under: uncultured bacterium
Lineage: Bacteria
Description: partial 16S ribosomal RNA
Rfam family: Bacterial small subunit ribosomal RNA
Source: RNAcentral